RNAcentral lists this unclassified non-coding RNA (298 nucleotides) under Hevea brasiliensis (rubber tree). Lineage: Eukaryota; Viridiplantae; Streptophyta; Magnoliopsida; Malpighiales; Euphorbiaceae. The record is from RNAcentral.
UUGGCAAUGCAUUGAUGCAGGUAUAUUUGGACUCUAUUUUCAUUUAAUUCCUUUUAAUGUUGUCAGACAAUGUUGCACCUCUAGUGAUUUGCAUUCCAAAUCACUCAAUCUGGAUUGUUUAUGUCAUUAGCAAUUUGGAAUGUUGAAGUUAGGAUUUUGAAACACAAACAAUAAUGAGUACAUAAUCAAAAUCCUAAUCACACAAAUUUGAGAUAGUUUUGUUAUUAUUAUCAUUAUUAUGGUGUAAGUUUGGGGAUUUUGUUUUAUUUUAUUUUUUUUAUAGUGUUGAAGUAUGUUG